GACGAACGCUGGCGGCGUGCUUAACACAUGCAAGUCGAACGGAAAGGCCCUGCUUUUGUGGGGUGCUCGAGUGGCGAACGUGUGAGUAACACGUGAGUAACCUUCCCUUUACUUUGGGAUAACUUCAGGAAACUGGGGCUAAUACCGGAUAGGAGCUCCUGCUGCAUGGUGGGGUUUGGAAAGUUUCGGCGGUUGUGGAUGGACUCGCGGCUUAUCAGCUUGUUGGUGGGGUAGUGGCUUACCAAGGCUUUGACGGGUAGCCGGCCUGAGAGGGUGACCGGCCACAUUGGGACUGAGAUACGGCCCAGACUCCUACGGGAGGCAGCAGUGGGGAAUAUUGCACAAUGGGCGGAAGCCUGAUGCAGCAACGCCGCGUGCGGGAUGACGGCCUUCGGGUUGUAAACCGCUUUCGCCUGUGACGAAGCGUGAGUGACGGUAAUGGGUAAAGAAGCACCGGCUAACUACGUG
Molecule: ribosomal RNA, 468 nt
Filed under: uncultured bacterium
Lineage: Bacteria
Description: partial 16S ribosomal RNA
Rfam family: Bacterial small subunit ribosomal RNA
Source: RNAcentral